Eucalyptus grandis is the source of this 1857-nucleotide long non-coding RNA. RefSeq lists it as uncharacterized. The record is from RefSeq and is a predicted model, not a curated record. The transcript is spliced from 3 exons. Lineage: Eukaryota; Viridiplantae; Streptophyta; Magnoliopsida; Myrtales; Myrtaceae.
UUACACGGAAAUAUUAUGAAGGAUUUUUUCGGUGUUGAUAUAAAAAUCCAAUUAACAUCACCUUCGGCCACCAACAACUCUGACAAAGGAUUAACAUCAUUGAAUGCCUAUAUACUUUGACAUCAUUUCUGUUUGAGUGCUCAUAACACAUUCUUCUCAAUGUCACUUUGCUUGACACGGGUUGAGGAAAAUUACUCUAUAAUAUUUUCAUCCAAUUUCGCCAUGUGAAGCAUUUUGGGAUUUUGUCGAGCAUAUUGCUCUUCCUAGGGACAUUUUUCUCAGCUUUGGCCUCUUUUUUGUUUCUCCUCCUCCUUUUCUUCUCCUUUGCCUUUCUCUACAUGGUCAAGCAGUUUGUCUCCUCAGCUUUUGCAUGGUGCCUAUGCAAAUUCUGGAUAUAUUGUUGAAGAGGGCUAGUGUUGAACCUGCUUGAAAGAAGCUAUCUGAACGGACUCCUGGCAGAGAUAAUUCCAUAUAAUGGCCAGCCAUGUAAAGUAGACUUAAUUGUGCUGAGGAAAGCAGGAGAAAUAUGGAUCCAGUUGUAAAAUUUCUAAUGGGCGACUCCAGAGUGAAACUGCUUUUCUGUUGGCUAAGCAGCUUUCACAUGGAGCUUUUCUUCUCUAUGUCAGUAUCUGUCUUGUCCCUGUGCUCAUAUUGCAUGGAUGGAGACUGACUGCAGAACAUGAAGAAAGAGUAAGGGCAAUUUUACAGUUCCUCAUCAGUUUGGUGUAAGAUUGAUCUCUGAAGCAUAAUGGGCCUUAGAGCCUUGAGUGUAGGACUAGCCUCUUUAAUUUCAGCAAAAGAGUGUGGAGAAUCUGUCUUUGUUUGCUUCUAUUACGGAAUCCUACGGCUUCCUUUGCUUCAGAUGGAAUGAAUAGCUAGUAUUUGUUCUCCAACAGGUUAUAUUCACUUUGAUGCUUCAAGUUGUCCGUUUUAUCCAGUGAGGGUACUCAGCUAAUUAAUAUACAAUGUCAAGUAGUAUGUUAUAUGAUUAACUUUUCCCUUUUAACUUUGUGCUUGCAUCGCUUCUACCUGAAUAUAUAUGUAUAUCCUUGGAAGUGAGCCAUAUUUUACCCUGCAUGUUUAAACUUUAUGAUACUUGAAGUCUUUCACAUUAGCAAGAAUCCUUAACAUCCUUGGUUAAGUUGAAAAUUAACUUUGUACCCCUGAUAUGCCCCCCUUUCCAUUUUUGUAUUUUUCCUUAUAUCCUUGGUUUAAUUACACUAAUAUUUUGCUUACAAUGCCAAAUUGGUAAAAGCAUAGACUUAAACUACUGUGAGUAACCGUUUCUUUGGUAGCUAUUAAUUUUGAUAGCUUACGUGGACCACAGUGGUGCUGUUUGUUCGUGUUUUCAUCUCUCUCGGUUCAUUGCCAAAUCCGCAAUUGUUGACCAAGAUUGAUCCAAACAGAGCUUUGCUUCAACUUAGAGUAGCAUGGCCUUUCUAUUAAUGCAAGUAUAGCUGAUCAGGAGACAGUCCAAAGGCUGAUUUUGUAUUUGGGAGUAUCCAUCCUGAUUCAGAGGUUGCUGAUAAUAUCAUUUGGAGGACUUCUCCUGCUAUUGAUGUGGAUUCUAUCAAAUCGUUCAGAGAUAUGAAGCUGCUGCGUGUUCUUUUUAGUUGUAGUCCAAGUUGAAUUGUAACUCUUUUUUUAGGUCAAGCAUGAUCAGAGAACCAGCUGGAUAUUUUUGUGGGAAGAAGAGAAUUCGUAGGGUGAUCCCACCAUAUCUAUUGUAAUCAUCUAAGUUGGUUGUACCUCUUCUCUCUUUUCUUUUUGAACCGUAUACCAACUUCGUUGCUAAUGUGCUAUUGGUUUUCUGUUGUAAUCAUCUAGUGCCAAAUGAAGAGAGAUUUGUGGACCUCA